GAUGAACGCUGGCGGCGCGCUUAACACAUGCAAGUCGAACGAAGCACUUUAACUUGAUUUCUUCGGAAAGAUUGUUAUUGUGACUGAGUGGCGGACGGGUGAGUAACGCGUGGGUAACCUGCCUCAUACAGGGGGAUAACAGUUGGAAACGGCUGCUAAUACCGCAUAAGCGCACAGUACCGCAUGGUACGGUGGGAAAAACUCCGGUGGCGUGAGAUGGACCCGCGUCUGAUUAGCUAGUUGGCAGGGCAGCGGCCUACCAAGGCGACGAUCAGUAGCCGACCUGAGAGGGUGACCGGCCACAUUGGGACUGAGACACGGCCCAAACUCCUACGGGAGGCAGCAGUGGGGAAUAUUGCACAAUGGGGGAAACCCUGAUGCAGCGACGCCGCGUGAGCGAAGAAGUAUUUCGGUAUGUAAAGCUCUAUCAGCAGGGAAGAAAAAAUGACGGUACCUGACUAAGGAGCACCGGCUAAAUACGUGCCAGCCGCCGCCGUAA
Molecule: ribosomal RNA, 499 nt
Filed under: uncultured bacterium
Lineage: Bacteria
Description: partial 16S ribosomal RNA
Rfam family: Bacterial small subunit ribosomal RNA
Source: RNAcentral